CCUACGGGUGGCAGCAGUGAGGAAUAUUGGUCAAUGGACGAGAGCCUGAACCAGCCAAGUAGCGUGAAGGAUGACUGCCCUAUGGGUUGUAAACUUCUUUUAUAAAGGAAUAAAACGAGGCACGUGUGCCUUUUUGCAUGUACUUUAUGAAUAAGGAUCGGCUAACUCCGUGCCAGCAGCCGCGGUAAUACGGAGGAUCCGAGCGUUAUCCGGAUUUAUUGGGUUUAAAGGGAGCGUAGAUGGGUUGUUAAGUCAGUUGUGAAAGUUUGCGGCUCAACCGUAAAAUUGCAAUUGAUACUGGCAGGCUUGAGUACAGUUGAGGUAGGCGGAAUUCGUGGUGUAGCGGUGAAAUGCUUAGAUAUCACGAAGAACCCCGAUUGCGAAGGCAGCUUACUAAACUGUGACUGACAUUGAGGCUCGAAAGUGUGGGUAUCAAACAGGAUUAGAUACCCCAGUAGUC
RNAcentral lists this ribosomal RNA (460 nucleotides) under uncultured bacterium. RNAcentral describes it as "partial 16S ribosomal RNA". It matches the Rfam family "Bacterial small subunit ribosomal RNA", at positions 338 to 795 of the family's 1533-position model. The record is from RNAcentral.